UAGGGAAUCUUGCGCAAUGGGCGAAAGCCUGACGCAGCCAUGCCGCGUGAAUGAUGAAGGUCUUAGGAUUGUAAAAUUCUUUCACCGGGGACGAUAAUGACGGUACCCGGAGAAGAAGCCCCGGCUAACUUCGUGCCAGUAGCCGCGGUAAUACGAAGGGGGCUAGCGUUGCUCGGAAUUACUGGGCGUAAAGGGAGCGUAGGCGGAUAGUUUAGUCAGAGGUGAAAGCCCAGGGCUCAACCUUGGAAUUGCCUUUGAUACUGGCUAUCUUGAGUAUGGAAGAGGUAUGUGGAACUCCGAGUGUAGAGGUGAAAUUCGUAGAUAUUCGGAAGAACACCAGUGGCGAAGGCGACAUACUGGUCCAUUACUGACGCUGAGGCUCGAAAGCGUGGGGAGCAAACA
RNAcentral lists this ribosomal RNA (402 nucleotides) under uncultured bacterium. RNAcentral's name for it is "partial 16S ribosomal RNA". It matches the Rfam family "Bacterial small subunit ribosomal RNA", at positions 355 to 774 of the family's 1533-position model. The record is from RNAcentral.